UUCUUAAAAAGAUCUCGGAGUUUAUAUAUUAAAUGGUGAACUUAAAUUUACUUUUUCUUCAAAAAUUUCGAAAAGUUACUGUUCUUGGCACGCUUUCCUUUCUUUAAAUGUUUCUUUGCCCAUUUGUUGCGAUUGUUGUCACGAGGACCAGAAGUAGAGACUUUAGGCUGAUCAACUUCCAUACCAACGUUAUCGGAUACUUCUGAACUGCUGACUUCUUUCAAGGAAUUAUCGG
Molecule: non-coding RNA, 235 nt
Organism: Schizosaccharomyces pombe (fission yeast)
Lineage: Eukaryota; Fungi; Ascomycota; Schizosaccharomycetes; Schizosaccharomycetales; Schizosaccharomycetaceae
Source: the annotation of a GenBank genome assembly